Long non-coding RNA from Myxocyprinus asiaticus (Chinese sucker), 1238 nucleotides. RefSeq lists it as uncharacterized. The record is from RefSeq and is a predicted model, not a curated record. Lineage: Eukaryota; Metazoa; Chordata; Actinopteri; Cypriniformes; Catostomidae. The transcript is spliced from 3 exons.
AACACUUAGCUUGAAGUACAAGCGCAAAGUAAAAGAAUGGGGAGGAAUAGGUGGAAAAAAUUAGAAGAAUCCUGCCUGUCGUUGAUGUGUGCUUUAAAGUUUGCGUUGAUUGAUUAUGUUACCUUACCUAACAGUACAUUUGGGAGGACGAUCCCUAUAUUCUACAGUGUUAAUGAUACACAAUGGCACUCAUUCAUCUCAUCCUUUCAUAAACUUGUUCAAUGAUCUGUUUUUUCCAAGAUCACAACUGAGCUGCAAAAUCACCACAUUGUGGUGCAAUCUUGGGAGACAAAGAGAGGUUUCAGGGAUUCUGCCCACUACUUUGAUGUCAUCAAUCUCAACUGCCCAAAUCACAAGCAAACAUACAGUACCAAUGGCAACACGUGCUUCAAGAGAAACCACUGUGAAGGAGGAUCAAGAUAUGGUCUCUACGAAAUGAUAACAAGAGCUGCUGCCUUUGACACUAAGCUUCCUUUCCCUUCAAAGCAGCAAGUGGAGGGGUUGCGCAUCCGCUGCUGCACCCCUGGGCCCUCGUCCACACAAAGAUUAACCCCCGUCUUCAUAAAACCAGACCAAGGAACUCAUCUGCUGCAGGUAUCUACCAGAGCAAGACCUCACAGUAGGAAAUGGGCUCGAUGAGAUCAGAUUUAGGAAUCCUGGUCUUUCCAGACCCACAGACUCCAGAAGAAUGGGAUAGGACAUGAAGGGCCAUUCAUCAUCACUCAAUCAUGCCUCAUGCCAUUUCACCACACCGUAAAUUCUUGGUGCACAAGGACAUGGAAGUUAGGAACUCCAGGUCCCUGGUCUGGCUCACAUUGUCUUGAGGCAAGAUUUGAAAGAGGCUGAACAGUUUCAUGUGAUAGUCUUAUCAGAGACUGUUUAAUAGAAGAUACUGUAAACUAUGUCAUAAAGAUAGAUGACAAAACACAGUUGUGUUCUAAUUAAUAAAGUAAAGAAACCUCAGCUUCAAUGAGGAACUGACAACGGUAGAAGAUGUCACUCCAGGACGUUGACUCCAACUGAUCGAUUUGACCAGAUGGAGAAGAGGGGUGAUUUCUAACUCAUUUAGCUUUGGUUUUAUUAGCUGCCGUCACUGGUUGCUCUUUGUCAAAUUAAAAGGUCUUGAGUACUUGAGUGGGUUGAAACAAAGGCAAUAAUUGUUCUAUUUUUAUUGGAAGUUGUUAUCACUCCAUUUGCCAGGCCGACUGAUAAUAUGCCACAAGCAGAAGUUACACAAC